RNAcentral lists this long non-coding RNA (2156 nucleotides) under Xyrichtys novacula (pearly razorfish). Lineage: Eukaryota; Metazoa; Chordata; Actinopteri; Labriformes; Labridae. The record is from RNAcentral.
ACCUGAUACAGCCUAUUGGUGUUCGGGGAUUGCAUAGCUCACCUCGGGGAUACGCUGUUUGAGCCGAGCGUCAUCACAGCAACUCUCUGCGACUCUCCCGCCGAAUGCGUACAACGCAACUGCGCAACGCUGGUUUCAGGAAAUGAAUAAAAAUCCCGGAAAUACCAAGGGCUUUUUGGCUUCGAAUCUGUAUACAGGAGGGAGGCAGAACCAAGUUGACCAUAUAUUCUAUGGUAACAACCAUAGUCACAACCAUGCAGUCCAUGGUCACAACAGCCACUAUAAGAUGGCAGAUGGGGUGUCUGUACAGAAAACAAGCGCCUAAACAGUAUGGCCCUCAUUUAUCAAUCUUGCGUGGACCUGAGCGCAGAUCUGAGCGCAGGAUUCAUCCUACAAAAGGACACAUGUAAGAUUUAUGUAAGGGUUCGUAUCUGACCAAUCCCAGCUUAUGUACAAUCGUCAUUAACAUGUUUACACCCUUAAAUAUUUGUGGUUCAGAAGCCUCGCCCACUGAGGUCAAACAUGAAAGAGGAGAAAUAUUAGAAAGAUUCCAAACUUUUCUGAGCUGAAAGUGGAUAUCCUCACAUCUGUGGUGGAAACUAACAAGGAUUUGCUCUUUGGAAGCAUCAAAACUGGUAUAAAAGCAGUCCAGAAAACUCCUGUCUGGAGCAGGAUUAUGGUGGCGCUGAACAGCACUGCCGCGGAAUAGCGGACAGUGGCUGAAGUUUGAAUAAAUCAUUAGUCAAUAAGUUGCUAUUGAUGAUAAAUUAUCUUAUAAAUGCCUCAUAUUUUUUAUUGGUAUGACAUAGGGUACGUUGCUCCUAUUAUUCAAAGUAUUUAGUUUUAAUUUGUUGCGUCUGUAAUGUAGAGCAGACCGGAGAGUCUGACAGAGGCUGAACAAAAGUAAUUAUUGACAUCACUAAACUGUGUGUUGCUGCCCCUGAGGCACAUUUUUAUGGAUUUCUAUUGGAUUUUUAUUACUGAUUUAAUAGCAAGAGCACUUUCUAAACUUAUACUUCACAUCAGAAUCCAUGGAUAAGGUCCUGUCUCCUCUGUGCAGCACCUUUGUGGAGUCUCUCCUCGUUAUUGUUCUCCGGGCAUUGGGUCCUGGCACAGCCAACGGCACUCCAUUCGCCAGAGCAACAUUGUGCAAAACUGUACUAACCGAAAUGAUGUCUCACACCCUUUCAGGAGUGCACAACAACGUCCCUGCUGCUGGACCAAGACAGAGACACCUGCCUUUUAGGAGUCAAAUGCAGCGCUCCACAGUAGCGCGUGUGCGUGCAAUGUUAAAACAGCACUCCUGCUCUGUGGCAGUGUUUCUGGGCAGAGUUAUCGAAUAGGCCUAUUCACCAAGAACAUAACAAAUUUAUUUUAUUUUAUUUUAUCUACGUCUUAAUCUUUAAUGAACUCUGGCUGAUUGUGCUUAAUGACAGGUUUGAGGUUUGUUUAUCAAUUAUUUUCAGACAGACAUUUGCUGCACCACAGAUCCACACUGACUCAAACUUGCGUACACGAUGUCAGACCUGUCGUAAGAUUUGGUCGUAGCGUAUGCUAACAUGCAAAUUGAUAAAUGCCGAUCCUCACAUCAAAAUUGUCAUACAAAAGGUGUACGCACGUUUUCUGCCGUACGCAAGCUUGAUAAAUGAGGGCCUAUAUUUCUAAAAGGCACCAGUAAAGGCAGAGUGACUGCACUGUUUCGCCUUUUAAGUGUUUUUAAACUACAAUAAUUUUAGCUGAAUCUUUUUGAAUGUUAAAUAAUUAUUGUUUCUCUGUGUCUUGUGUGUAGUAAACAUCCAGGGUCUGGACAUCGAGAUGGUGGAGUCCUACAGAUUCCUGGGUGUCCACCUCAACAAUAAACUGGACUGGUCAACAAACACAGACGUCCUGUACAAGAAGGGCCAAAGUCGUCUCCACCUGCUGAGGAGACUGAGGUCCUUUGGAGUGUGCAGGACUCUGCUCAGGACUUUCUAUGACUCUGUGGUAGCAUCUGCACUUUUCUAUGCAGUGGUCUGCUGGGGGGCAGGGAGCACCGAGAGGGACAGGAAGAGACUUAAUAGACUGGUCAGGAGGGCCAGUUCUGUCCUGGACUGUUCUUUGGACUCCCUGGAGGAGGUGGGUGAGAGGAGGAUGUUAGCAAAGCUUGUAUCCAUCAU